Non-coding RNA from Mycena galericulata, 88 nucleotides. Lineage: Eukaryota; Fungi; Basidiomycota; Agaricomycetes; Agaricales; Mycenaceae. The record is from the annotation of a GenBank genome assembly.
GCCUCAGUUGCAUGGUGCUCCUCUGUGCUAAUUUGGGAAUGUAUAUUGCUUGCAGCAGAGGUCCCUGGUUCGAUUCCAGGCUGGGUCA